AUACGGAGGGUCCGAGCGUUAUCCGGAAUCACUGGGUUUAAAGGGUCCGUAGGCGGGAAUCUAAGUCAGUGGUGAAAUCUCGCAGCUCAACUGUAAAAUUGCCAUUGAUACUGGAUUUCUUGAAUUAGUGUGAAGUGAUUAGAAUGUGUAGUGUAGCGGUGAAAUGCAUAGAUAUUACACAGAAUACCAAUUGCGAAGGCAGAUCACUAACACUAUAUUGACGCUGAGGGACGAAAGCGUGGGGAGCGAACAGGAUUAGAAACCCCGGUAGUCC
Molecule: ribosomal RNA, 274 nt
Filed under: uncultured bacterium
Lineage: Bacteria
Description: partial 16S ribosomal RNA
Rfam family: Bacterial small subunit ribosomal RNA
Source: RNAcentral